AGGACGAACGCUGGCGGCGUGCUUAACACAUGCAAGUCGAGCGGAAAGGCCCUUCGGGGUACUCGAGCGGCGAACGGGUGAGUAACACGUGGGCAACCUGCCCUUAGCUCUGGGAUAGCUCCGGGAAACCGGAAUUAAUACCGGAUAUGACCUAGGCCGACAUCGGCCGUGGUGGAAAGUUUUUCGGCUAGGGAUGGACUCGCGGCCUAUCAGCUAGUUGGUGGGGUAAUGGCCUACCAAGGCGACGACGGGUAGCCGGCCUGAGAGGGCGACCGGCCGACACUGGGACUGAGACACGGCCCAGACUCCUACGGGAGGCAGCAGUGGGGAAUCUUGCGCAAUGGGCGAAAGCCUGACGCAGCGACGCCGCGUGGGGGAUGAAGGCCUUCGGGUUGUAAACCCCGUUUCAGCAGGGACGAAGCGAAAGUGACGGUACCUGCAGAAGAAGCGCCGGCUAACUACGCGCCAGCAGCCGC
This 476-nucleotide ribosomal RNA is filed under the name uncultured bacterium. RNAcentral describes it as "SSU rRNA". It matches the Rfam family "Bacterial small subunit ribosomal RNA", at positions 26 to 518 of the family's 1533-position model. The record is from RNAcentral.